UACGUAGGGGGCAAGCGUUGUCCGGAUUUAUUGGGCGUAAAGAGCGUGUAGGCGGCCAUGCAGGUCCGUUGUGAAAACUCGAGGCUCAACCUCGAGACGCCGGUGGAAACCGCAUGGCUAGAGUCCGGAAGAGGAGAGUGGAAUUCCUGGUGUAGCGGUGAAAUGCGCAGAUAUCAGGAAGAACACCCGUGGCGAAGGCGGCUCUCUGGGACGUGACUGACGCUGAGACGCGAAAGCGUGGGGAGCAAACAGG
This 253-nucleotide ribosomal RNA is filed under the name uncultured bacterium. RNAcentral describes it as "partial 16S ribosomal RNA". It matches the Rfam family "Bacterial small subunit ribosomal RNA", at positions 524 to 776 of the family's 1533-position model. RNAcentral also lists the same sequence under 1 other name. The record is from RNAcentral.